Molecule: ribosomal RNA, 252 nt
Filed under: uncultured bacterium
Lineage: Bacteria
Description: partial 16S ribosomal RNA
Rfam family: Bacterial small subunit ribosomal RNA
Source: RNAcentral
UACAGAGGGUGCAAGCGUUGCUCGGAAUCAUUGGGCGUAAAGGGUAGGUAGGUGGUCUCGUUUGUCUAGGGUGAAAGCCAGGGCUUAACCCUGGAAGUGCCCUAGAAACGGCGAGACUAGAGUAUUGGGGAGGGUCGUGGAAUUCCCGGUGUAGUGGUGAAAUGCGUAGAGAUCGGGAGGAACACCUGUGGCGAAGGCGGCUCGCUGGGCCGGUCCUGACGCUGAAACGCGAAGGCGUGGGGAGCGAACGGG